GAUGAACGCUGGCGGCGUGCCUAACACAUGCAAGUCGAGCGAGGGUUUGCUCAGUAUUGAGUAUUCUAAGUCUAGAAUGUUCAAUUCUGAGCAAAACCAAGCGGCGGACGGGUGAGUAACGCGUGGGUAACCUGCCCUAUACACAUGGAUAACAUACUGAAAAGUUUACUAAUACAUGAUAAUAUAUAUUUGCGGCAUCGCAGAUAUAUCAAAGUGUUAGCGGUAUAGGAUGGACCCGCGUCUGAUUAGCUAGUUGGUGAGAUAACUGCCCACCAAGGCGACGAUCAGUAGCCGACCUGAGAGGGUGAUCGGCCACAUUGGAACUGAGACACGGUCCAAACUCCUACGGGAGGCAGCAGUGGGGAAUAUUGCACAAUGGGCGAAAGCCUGAUGCAGCAACGCCGCGUGAACGAUGAAGGUCUUCGGAUCGUAAAGUUCUGUUGCAGGGGAAGAUAAUGACGGUACCCUGUGAGGAAGCCCCGGCUAACUACGUGCCAGCAGCCGCGGUAAUACGUAGGGGGCUAGCGUUAUCCGGAUUUACUGGGCGUAAAGGGUGCGUAGGUGGUCCUUCAAGUCGGUGGUUAAAGGCUACGGCUCAACCGUAGUAAGCCGCCGAAACUGGAGGACUUGAGUGCAGGAGAGGAAAGUGGAAUUCCCAGUGUAGCGGUGAAAUGCGUAGAUAUUGGGAGGAACACCAGUAGCGAAUGCGGCUUUCUGGACUGCAACUGACACUGAGGCACGAAAGCGUGGGUAGCAAACAGG
RNAcentral lists this ribosomal RNA (762 nucleotides) under uncultured Peptostreptococcus sp. Its description in RNAcentral is "bacterial SSU rRNA". It matches the Rfam family "Bacterial small subunit ribosomal RNA", at positions 28 to 776 of the family's 1533-position model. The record is from RNAcentral. Lineage: Bacteria; Bacillati; Bacillota; Clostridia; Peptostreptococcales; Peptostreptococcaceae.